RNAcentral lists this ribosomal RNA (844 nucleotides) under uncultured bacterium. RNAcentral's name for it is "bacterial SSU rRNA". It matches the Rfam family "Bacterial small subunit ribosomal RNA", at positions 14 to 848 of the family's 1533-position model. The record is from RNAcentral.
UGAUCCUGGCUCAGGAUGAACGCUAGCUACAGGCUUAACACAUGCAAGUCGAGGGGAAACGACAUCGAAAGCUUGCUUUUGAUGGGCGUCGACCGGCGCACGGGUGAGUAACGCGUAUCCAACCUGCCCACCACUUGGGGAUAACCUUGCGAAAGUAAGACUAAUACCCAAUGAUAUCUCUAGAAGACAUCUGAAAGAGAUUAAAGAUUUAUCGGUGAUGGAUGGGGAUGCGUCUGAUUAGCUUGUUGGCGGGGUAACGGCCCACCAAGGCGACGAUCAGUAGGGGUUCUGAGAGGAAGGUCCCCCACAUUGGAACUGAGACACGGUCCAAACUCCUACGGGAGGCAGCAGUGAGGAAUAUUGGUCAAUGGGCGAGAGCCUGAACCAGCCAAGUAGCGUGCAGGAUGACGGCCCUAUGGGUUGUAAACUGCUUUUAUAAGGGAAUAAAGUGAGUCUCGUGAGACUUUUUGCAUGUACCUUAUGAAUAAGGACCGGCUAAUUCCGUGCCAGCAGCCGCGGUAAUACGGAAGGUCCGGGCGUUAUCCGGAUUUAUUGGGUUUAAAGGGAGCGUAGGCCGGAGAUUAAGCGUGUUGUGAAAUGUAGAUGCUCAACAUCUGAACUGCAGCGCGAACUGGUUUCCUUGAGUACGCACAAAGUGGGCGGAAUUCGUGGUGUAGCGGUGAAAUGCUUAGAUAUCACGAAGAACUCCGAUUGCGAAGGCAGCUCACUGGAGCGCAACUGACGCUGAAGCUCGAAAGUGCGGGUAUCGAACAGGAUUAGAUACCCUGGUAGUCCGCACGGUAAACGAUGGAUGCCCGCUGUUGGUCUGAAUAGGUCAGCGGCC